This 556-nucleotide ribosomal RNA is filed under the name uncultured Glomus. RNAcentral describes it as "SSU rRNA". It matches the Rfam family "Eukaryotic small subunit ribosomal RNA", at positions 529 to 1086 of the family's 1831-position model. Lineage: Eukaryota; Fungi; Glomeromycota; Glomeromycetes; Glomerales; Glomeraceae. The record is from RNAcentral.
AUUUCCAAGUCUGGUGCCUUGGAGGGCAAGUCUGGUGCCAGCAGCCGCGGUAAUUCCAGCUCCAAUAGCGUAUAUUAAAGUUGUUGCAGUUAAAAAGCUCGUAGAUGAAUUUCGGGAUCAAUAUUUGGGUCAUGCCGUUGGUAUGCACUGUUAUCAUUGAUUUCUCACCUUCUAAAGAACCGUAAUGCCAUUAAUUUGGUGUUACGGGGAAUUAGGACUGUUACCUUGAAAAAAUUAGGGUGUUUAAAGCAGGCUCACGCCUGAUUACAUUAGCAUGGAAUAAUGAAAUAGGACAUCCGAUUCUAUUUUGUUGGUUUCUAGGAUCGAUGUAAUGAUUAAUAGGGAUAGUUGGGGGCAUUAGUAUUCGAUUGUCAGAGGUGAAAUUCUUGGAUUUAUUGAAGACUAACUACUGCGAAAGCAUUUGGCAAGGAUGUUUUCAUUAAUCAAGAACGAAAGUUAGGGGAUCGAAGACGAUCAGAUACCGUCGUAGUCUUAACCAUAAACUAUGCCGACUAGGGAUCGGAUUAUGUUAAUUUUUUAAUGACUCAUUCGGCGC